CGGGCGAGUAAUGCCUAGGGAUCUGCCUAGUCGAGGGGGAUAACAGUUGGAAACGACUGCUAGUACCGCAUACGCCCUACGGGGGAAAGGAGGGGACCUUCGGGCCUUCCGCGAUUGGAUGAACCUAGGUGGGAUUAGCUAGUUGGUGAGGUAAUGGCUCACCAAGGCGACGAUCCCUAGCUGUUCUGAGAGGAUGAUCAGCCACACUGGGACUGAGACACGGCCCAGACUCCUACGGGAGGCAGCAGUGGGGAAUAUUGCACAAUGGGGGAAACCCUGAUGCAGCCAUGCCGCGUGUGUGAAGAAGGCCUUCGGGUUGUAAAGCACUUUCAGUAGGGAGGAAAGGGUGUAGUUUAAUACGCUAUAUCUGUGACGUUACCUACAGAAGAAGGACCGGCUAACUCCGUGCCUGCAGCCGCGGUAAUACGGAGGGUCCGAGCGUUAAUCGGAAUUACUGGGCGUAAAGCGUGCGCAGGCGGUUUGUUAAGCGAGAUGUGAAAGCCCUGGGCUCAGCCUAGGAAUAGCAUUUCGAACUGGCGAACUAGAGUCUUGUAGAGGGGGGUAGAAUUCCAGGUGUAGCGGUGAAAUGCGUAAAGAUCUGGAGGAAUACCGGUGGCGAAGGCGGNCCCCUGGACAAAGACUGACGCUCAUGCACGAAAGCGUGGGGAGCAAACAGGA
RNAcentral lists this ribosomal RNA (678 nucleotides) under uncultured bacterium. RNAcentral's name for it is "bacterial SSU rRNA". It matches the Rfam family "Bacterial small subunit ribosomal RNA", at positions 103 to 777 of the family's 1533-position model. The record is from RNAcentral.